AAAAUAAUAAACUUCAAAAUAAAUAAAUAAAUAAAAUUUAAUUUUAAAUUUUAAAUAUAAUAAAAUAAUAAAAAUUAUAACCAUAACAAAAUAUUAAUACCAAUUAAUAUAUAAACAAUCUUAUUCUAAAUAUAGAUCUACCAUUUAAAUAAAAUUAAAAAAUAAAAAAAAUAUUUCAAUAAUAUAUUUAUGACAACAAUAAAUAAAAAUUGAUUGCCCAAUUUUUAAAGUGCAAAUUCAUUCAAUACAAAUUAAUCUAAUUUAAAUUUACCGCCAAAUUAAAUAAUUUUAAUUAAAACUAAUCCUCAAUCUGUACAAAAAAUAUUUGGUUUAUAUAAACAGGGUAUCUAAUCCUAAUUUAAUUAAAACUAAAAUUAUUUAAUAUUAACUCUAAAAAAUUAAAUUAACAUUUCACCGCAAAUAAAUAAAAAUAAAAAUAAACUUAAAAUAAAUAUUAAAACACAAAAUCUAAACCUUAACUUUUAUUUAAAUUGU
Molecule: ribosomal RNA, 495 nt
Filed under: Ceroplastes sp. CCG-AL-27
Lineage: Eukaryota; Metazoa; Arthropoda; Insecta; Hemiptera; Coccidae
Description: partial 12S ribosomal RNA
Source: RNAcentral